Molecule: ribosomal RNA, 465 nt
Filed under: uncultured bacterium
Lineage: Bacteria
Description: bacterial SSU rRNA
Rfam family: Bacterial small subunit ribosomal RNA
Source: RNAcentral
UCCAGACUCCUACGGGAGGCAGCAGUGAGGAAUAUUGGUCAAUGGCCGGAAGGCUGAACCAGCCAAGCCGCGUGAGGGAGGAAGGCGCAGAGCGUCGCAGACCUCUUUUGCCGGGGGACAAAAGGCCGGACUCGUCCGGUCCUGAGGGUACCCGGAGAAAAAGCAUCGGCUAACUCCGUGCCAGCAGCCGCGGUAAUACGGAGGAUGCGAGCGUUAUCCGGAUUCAUUGGGUUUAAAGGGUGCGUAGGUUGUUUUAUAAGUUAGCGGUGAAAUACCGAUGCUCAACAUCGGGGCUGCCGCUAAUACUGUAGGACUAGAGAUCGGAUGCAGCAGGCGGAAUGUGUAGUGUAGCGGUGAAAUGCAUAGAUAUUACACAGAACACCGAUUGCGAAGGCAGCUUGCUAGGCCGGAUCUGACACUGAUGCACGAAAGCGUGGGGAUCGAACAGGAUUAGAUACCCCGGUA